Molecule: long non-coding RNA, 781 nt
Organism: Ceratina calcarata
Lineage: Eukaryota; Metazoa; Arthropoda; Insecta; Hymenoptera; Apidae
Exons: 2
Source: RefSeq, a predicted model, not a curated record
AACGCAUGCGGCAUGCUCACGUAACCUAAGCGUAAACGAUUAAGCUUGUCCGUGUGUUGCGAAUAUAUUGAAGCAAUUCGAGCAUUAUAUGAACAAUUGAACAAGUAUAUCUGUUCGAAAAUACAGAGUACAAUGGUGAACAUCGUGAAACACAUAACAGAUUGUUAUUACGACCCUUUCAAAUGGUCAGUAGUAAAAAGCAUUGCACUAUUUGCAGUAGGUGUAAAAAUUGCCGUCGACUGCAAAGGAAUGAAUCUAAUGCCGCCAAUUCCUUAAAAAGGAAUUAUUAAAAUAUUACAUCGUACAUAUAUCUACCUGUUACCUCCAUUUUAUUUCUAUGUACAAACUUGUUUUUAAAAUAAUGUAUACAUAUGUAUGUUUUCCUCAUUUUAUAAGUACACUUUUUGUAACUAUAAUUUGAAUCUGUAUAUAGAUGACAUCAUUAAUACAUUUCAUAGCAAUAGUAUGUACAUUUACAUGAUUAACGUAUUGUAAUAUGUAUAAACCAUUUUGAUUACGUCUUCAUUAAUGUGCAUUGUACUUGAGAACUUUAUAUUCUGAAAUAUACUGAUAAAGAAAUAUGUUUUCAUUUAUUUCAUUUCUAUCUUUCUAAUCAGAUCAAAACAGUAUUAAAACUCUGCUUUUGUAGAGGGCAUUAUGAAAUAAAUACACAUUACAAAAAAGAAAAUCUAAAUUAUAUAUUUUUAACAUUGUGUAGCUAAUUUGCGGCUAAGUUGUUACUGUUUCCGAGCACUACUUUUCUUAGCUACGUUAAUACGAG